AUGCAUCUGUUUGACAGACCUGCAACAGUUACUUACCUGCUGCCAAGGUUUCCACUACAGAUGCAAAAAAAAAAAAGCAUCCUCACACCUUCUGCCUGUGUAAUUAUAUCAGCCCAUAAUUGAAUGGGGAAAUGCAAGA
RNAcentral lists this small nucleolar RNA (139 nucleotides) under Sorex araneus (European shrew). Its description in RNAcentral is "Small nucleolar RNA SNORA31 (ENSSARG00000019005.1)". The record is from RNAcentral. Lineage: Eukaryota; Metazoa; Chordata; Mammalia; Eulipotyphla; Soricidae.